RNA transcript from Prunus persica (peach), 1738 nucleotides. It is a transcript of the gene named deSI-like protein At4g17486, with no coding region annotated. The record is from RefSeq and is a predicted model, not a curated record. Lineage: Eukaryota; Viridiplantae; Streptophyta; Magnoliopsida; Rosales; Rosaceae. The transcript is spliced from 5 exons.
AAGUUGUUUAUUUAAAUUUCUUUUUUCUUCUGAUCAUUCAUAUCCCAGAAGAAAUACAAACAGAAAACGACGACGCACCAAUCCGUUGAGAAAGGGAAGUUACUUUACUCGAGUCUGCUUCUUCAGGUCACGGAGAUAUAUUAUCCAUUAACACCAAUUCAAUUUUCCCUAAUUAGUGUUUUAGUUGUUGGUGAGAUUAAAUUGAAAAAAAGUAAAAAUAAAUGAAGAAAAAUAAAAAUAAAAAGAGUUAGACUUGCAUUAAGUUGACAGUGAUAUUUGGCACUGUAAUAAUAAUAGAGGUGACUGCUUUCUUACACUCUAAUAAUGAUAUUCCUCCUGCCAUCAGAAUCAGAUUUUUCCAAAACAUUGUGAUUUAACAGAAACACAGCACAUUAGCACACUAGCAGAGAGAGAGAGAGAGCUGGCAGCAGGAUACAAAGGCCUUUCAUUUCAUUGCAGUUGGUUGGUGGCAUUCUGGCUCUGAAAAUACUGAACUGAAACUCAGCUGUUUUACUGUUUAGACAAGUUGGGUUUUGCUCCUCUCUAAUGACUACUGCCUUCUCUGAAUCUGCUGGAAGCAUUGACUGAAUUCUGGCUAUACUAUCAAAGAAACAUGAAAUUUGAAUUGAAGAAAAGAUGGAGAGCCAUUGCCCCACAUCAAUUGAAAAACAAAUCAGCUGGCCGUUUUUGUUUAUUUCCCAAAUCAAAGUCAGAUCGCUCUGAUCCGAGACAAGCACCAGUUUAUCUCAAUGUAUAUGAUUUAACACCCAUGAAUGGCUACGUCUAUUGGGCAGGCCUUGGAAUUUUUCACUCUGGUGUUGAAGUUCAUGGUGUAGAAUAUGCAUUUGGAGCACACGACUACCCUACCAGUGGUGUUUUUGAGGUUGAACCUCGCCAAUGCCCAGGAUUCAAGUUCAGGAAGUCUAUAUUUAUUGGGACCACAUCCUUGGACCCUACUCAGGUUAGGGAGUUUAUGGAGCGCCAGUCUUUGAGCUACAAUGGUGAUACAUAUCACCUGAUUGUCAAGAACUGCAACCAUUUCUGCAGGGAUAUCUGUCACAAGUUAACCGGAAAAUCGAUUCCCAAAUGGGUAAAUCGACUGGCAAAAAUAGGUUCAAUAUGCAACUGCGUACUUCCUGAAGCCCUAAAGAUUUCUUCUGUGCAACACGACCCGAACUGCCAGCCAUACGACAGCGAGAAGAGGAGUUUGAGAAGUACGUUCAGUUGCCUGUCUUCUAUUUCAAUGCGGCAGAAGCAAUUGUCAUCAUCAUCGUUAUUUCUACAGUCACCCCUAAAAGGCUGCUUACCGCCAUGGGAAUUGAGAAGGUCGAACAAUGGUUCCUUGAAGGAAAGGUGAGAGAAACUGUUCUAUAGUAUGAUGACUGGCGGGGCGUCCAUAACCUUUAACGAGGGGAAUUUGUUGCUAAGUUUUUGUGCGCCAGCAAUUGAAAGCUGCCAUCACUCAGAUUGUUUUUGUUCUCCCAGGUUAGACGUGACAAAACUCCUCCCAAGUGUAAAUUGUGCUGUUAGCGUAGCUUGUAACAUCGUUGUCUUGGCAAAUGAAUGCAUCAACGUGCAGAAACUUUGAUUCCCAUCUCAAGUAAGGCUUAGGAGGCGGGAAUGGGAUUCACGUUUGAUAAAAUGUACACGAAGCAGUAGAGAGGAAGAGAUUGAGAUAGAUCAUAAAAACAAUCACAACCUAAACUGUUGUACUGUUAAUGGAUAUGAGUAAUGCAAU